GCUCUUGUGGACAAAUUGGCUAAGUCACCACACUUUCACUGUGGAGAUUGCGGGUUCGAACCCCGUCGAGAGUA
This 74-nucleotide transfer RNA is filed under the name Saprospiraceae bacterium. RNAcentral describes it as "tRNA-Glu". It matches the Rfam family "tRNA". Rfam says of the family: Transfer RNA (tRNA) molecules are approximately 80 nucleotides in length. Lineage: Bacteria; Pseudomonadati; Bacteroidota; Saprospiria; Saprospirales; Saprospiraceae. The record is from RNAcentral.